UUACUGCAUCAGAUUUUUAAUACAAUUCUAGUUACUGCAUCAGAUCUUCCUUCACAUAUAGGUGUCUAAUUUUAGUCAUCUCACUGGUGUAGUGGUGUUGCUUCUGGUGAAGUUGUAUUGUGCACUGAUGUAUAUGAAAGGGGUUAGUUGAGGGUUGUUGUGUAGGAAUGGAGUAGGUUAGGUGUCCAAAAGAAUUGGGUGAUAUCUGCAUAAUAUUAUGCAGCAUUUGAUUUUUCUACAUGUUGUACCUUUUGGCUUUGGUUACCUGAUGCAGUCUUGCACACAGGAGGCUCCAUAAACUUUGGUGAACAUAAGAAGAGGAUGGUAAGGCUCCAUAUUACAAUAAUCGUUGUAACUUUCUUUAUAAACACUUGCACCGAUAUUUUUAGAGACGAAGUCCAUAUAGAGAUGCUAAUUGUUGGCAAAUUUGGUGAACAUAGGAAGAGGAAUUGAAACAUGAAGUUUCAUAUAGGGAUGUAUAUGAACGGGUUCAUAAGAAGACAGAUGGACAAUAUAUCUCCCAACGCUCAAGAACGUAUAUUGUAAGUUACUUCAACUUUGAAAAAGUUAAUUGUAAUAUGAAUGUAGGUUGAUGUUAAUUAUUAUAUUCAAAAUGNNNNNNNNNNNNNNNNNNNNNNNNACUUUUGUGGGUCGCAGCUUAGACCUUAAUAGUUCUGUGCCUGCUUCAUCUGCAGAGGCAAACAUAAUAGUUACAUCAGAAGAAUUUAUCAAAAAAGCUGUUGAUAGAGCAAUGACUUCCUUUGUCCAGUCACAGUUGGCUCCAAUGUUGGAGCCAAUCCUAUCGAUGAUUCGGUCUAUGCAUAAAGCACCAAUGCAACUUGAUGUGGCUGAAAAAGUUCACAGGAAUUAAGGUGAU
This 877-nucleotide long non-coding RNA is filed under the name Trifolium pratense (red clover). RNAcentral describes it as "long non-coding RNA (TPRA_LNC007351)". The record is from RNAcentral. Lineage: Eukaryota; Viridiplantae; Streptophyta; Magnoliopsida; Fabales; Fabaceae.